AAGAAGGAGAGAAGAUAAGAGAAGAGGAAAGGAAAUGAGAGCAAAACGUAAAGAGCAUUCUUGCUCUAUAUAUUGUGUUCAAUUGGAACUUAGGGAAAUUACAUUUGACCACCCUGGAGGGUGAGAGGGAAAAAAGAAAAUACAGCUUAGGACAAUAUAAGAUAAGUACAGUUCCUAAACUACCCCUAUUACAUAAACUCCAACAGAUCUUGCCAUCUAUGAUGAUUUAACCCUACUAUUGAGGUGUAUCUGAUGUAGAUAAAGCACAUAAGUGGGCUAAUUUAGUUAGAAAAGCCGUGGGCUGGGUACAUAUGUGUUAGGCCUUUGGUCUAAUGGAUUUCUUUGUAAAAGUCCAUUUUAAUGGGCCUAAAAUAUGGGUAAGUAGGAAAAUGGGAUGUACUUUAUUAGUUAGUCUAGUUACAGUCCAAUUACUUAUUUUUGUAUUACGUUGUUUCAGUUGAACUAUGAUAGGCCUCUAUGGGUCCAGCCUUGUUAAAUUUGUUUCUUUCUUGUUUUAUUCAGAGUUUUUGUGGCAGUAGACUACCUCCAGUUUUUGUGGGUCCAACCUUAUUCAGCUAUUGGCUGAAGGAGUUUUAGGCUUAAUUUGAGCCCUGUUUAGAGUCUUUUAUUUGAACAUAUGUAAUGCCAGUGGCCUAGCCACUCAUAUUGAUGAAUUGUUAAAAGCUUUAGCUUUGUUUUGGUCUGUGGAUUCAUGCUUGAGGUGUUUUGACUCUUGUGGAUUCAAGAGUGUCAACUGCUGUGAGAUUCAGUAGUGAACCCUGGUGGGAUUCCAGGUUGGGGUAUUGGUGAUAGCCACCUGAACCUAAUGAUGUGGAAUUUUUUUUCUCCUUUUAUUGGUACUCUUGAGAUAACCAGCAUAUGAGAUGUCAAGUAUUAAUUUUUAUUUAUCUUUUAAUUAUGGUUUGGGACAUGAUUUAAGUCUUGUUAGUUUAACAAAUUUUCCAGGUCAAGUAUUUAGUGAUUCAUUUUCAAUUUAUUCAUAGUCCAGUUCUGAGUUUUGCUUAUUAUUUUUUAGUCUAUUAGUGUAGCUAAACUUACUUAGGAUAGUAUUUCCAUUGCUUUCCUUUAUGACUUCUUAUUCUUGUGAUAUUCAAAACCUUGACCAUUGAUAUAAUUUGUGUCAUGAUAGAGGUUUUUCAGUUACCUGUCUUUGGAAUUUAAGUUCCUGCAAAUCUUAGGCAAACAGGGUAUAGGGUUUCAAACACAAGAUUUUAGUCAUUAAUUAGGCAGUAGUACCCCAUUCUUUUAGUUUCAUAUUGAUUUAUUUUAUGCUUGGUUCAUCUGCAUGCAUAGAAUAAUAUGGGGCAGAUAUAUGGUUGGCUAUAUAGUCAGAUAGCAACCUAAUAAUAUGGGUACCAUUGAGAUGACAAGUAUAUGAGAUGUCAUGAAUUUUUUUUUUUUUUUGAUAGUUUGGGUUAUGAUUUAAGUCUUGUUAGUUUCACAGUUUUUCCAGGUUGAACUGGUUAGUGAAUCAAUUUAUUCUUGAUCUUCAAGAAUUAAACCAGAUCCCAUCUGUUUAUUAAUUCUUUUUCACUCCUGAUCAUCAAUUGCUUAACUGUACAAGUUUGUUGCAUGAAAACAUGUAUCCCAAAUCCCAUUUUCUUUGAAAAUUUUCCUCUUAUGUAUUACCUAUGUCUGAAACUUCUAUAAUUGCUUUCUUGGUAUUGUUCCUCUUGACCCUUUGUUAAUUCGUGUACUCUAUUUCCUAGUUAGGUAUGUUAUUGGAAUAUCUGAGGUUCUAUUCACUCGUGUGAUUUCCUUGGCCAUGUCAAUCCUUCUUAUUUUUUCCUUUUUGCUCUUGGUAAAGUCAAAUUUCAUUCAUGAGAAAUAGGGAUACACAACUAAACAUAGACUGAUCUUAGAUAAUUGAUCAGCCAAGCAUAAGUUAUGCUGAGAAAUUGUUGUUGAAAAUUAGCUGAUGUUAGAUAAUUAAUCAACCAAUCAUAAGUUAUGCUGAGAAAUUGUCGUUAAAAAUUAUCUUCUGCCCCCUGUCUUAGAAUGAAGUAAAAGAGAACCUCCUAACCUAAGAUAAUCCUCAUAUCCUAUUGGUGAUUGGUUGUGGUUACAAGAGAUUUUGGUGAGCAAGUGAAGUAUGCUUUGGAGAGGAUUUUCUCUCAAUUUUGAAUUACAUUGAAUCAAAUUUCAUUAGUUAAAGGAAGUUAAGACAUGUUUUUAUUUUUUUAUUUUUGGAUGAAUAAAAAUAUAUUAACCCAAGAAGAAAAAAUAUACAAGGGAAAGAAAGGGGGGGGGGAAGAAGGCACACUGCCAAAGAAAAAAGGAUAAAACCUCUAAUGGAUACAAGCCCUCAUGGGGAAGGGGGGGAGAAUAGAAGAUGAAAGAUUCCAUGAGUCAAUAAUAAGCCUGUUCCUAGGAGAGUCAGGGACUGGCCGAGGCGGGAGGGAAGCAAUUUUGGUGGAGACCUCAAAUGAGAUGGCAGUCCAAAUCUUUUCAAAUGUACGGGAGUUGGACGUUAUUCUACGAAGAUUCUCCUCCAUCCAAAUAUGAUUGAUGGUGGCACAAAAGGUUAGCUUCCCAACGGUGUCACAAAUGGUGGGGCCAAGAAAGGUCAUGUCAAUCCAAAACCAUUUCCUACUGAGAGGGAGAACUCUUCUACUAGAAGGCCAACAACAAGAAAGAACUUUCUUCCAGAUGGAAGAGGAGAAGGGUCAGGAGAAAAAGAGAUGAUCAACAUCUUCAAUUCUUCUCCAGCAAAGGCAGCAAGAGGGGGGAACUGGAAUGUGGUGGUGAAUGAGGAAAGACUGCGUAGGGAGGCAAUUGGUGAGAGUUCGCCAAACUGUGAAGUUGUGACGGGGGAUGUGGCCUUUGAAUCAUAGGACUUUAUACCAAAAGGCUGGUUGGGCUUUAGUCCUAACAAAGUUCCAGGCCGAGGAAGAGCUGAACGUCUUUGAAGGUGAAGGAUUCCAGAUAAUGGAGACCUCUCUCUCUAUGCCUGGGGGGGAGAGAGCAGGAAGAGAGGUCCAAAUGUAGUUUAGAGAAGGAGGAAGGGGAGAGGGGACCCAUCCAUCAUUGAGGAGGACGGAGGAGACAUGAGCCAACCUAUCCAACCCCAAGGAGUAAAUAGUUCUAGGAUUGAGAAGGUGAAGGAGGACCCCUGAAGGGUGGCAGGGAUCCAACCAAAGAGAAGUAGAAGCUCCGUUCACAAUGGAAUAGGAGAUAGCCUCUAGCGCCAAAGGUCUUAGGCAAAGAAUGCCCAAGAGGAGUCAGAACCUGGGAUAGUGGACCAAAUGGAGUUGGAUUUCAGGAGGUAGGAGUAGACCCAGGAGACCAAAAUGCUGCUCUUUUUAGAAGCAAUUCUCCAGAUCAGCUUGAGAAUACCAGCUGCGUUCAUGUCUUUAAUGCGCCUGAGACCAAGACCUCCCUCGGCUUUAGGGAGACAGACAGAACUCUAGCUGGAUGGGCGGAGGAAUCUGAUAGAAUCAGAUCCUUUCCAAAGAAAAGAGCUGAUGAAAGACUCAAUAGCUUUGAUGGUUGGAGGAGGGAGAACAAAUAUCCCGGACCACUAGAGGUACAUGGAUUGGAGCAUAGAUUUGGAGAGUUUAUGACGACCCGCGUAGGACAACAGCUUGCUCUUCCACAGUUGAAGUUUUUUUUUCAAGAGGUCAAGGAUAGGGGUGCAAUGAUGGGCAGAAAUCCUGGCAGGAAUGAGAGGGAGACCAAGGUAUUUGACGGGAAGGGUGCCGAGGGAGAAACCCGUUAUAUCAAGAAGUCGGGCUUUCAGAGGUUCAGAGAUCCCAGUGGUGAAGAGGUGGGAUUUAAGAAUAUUAGUGCUAAGCCCCAAGAGGCGCUCGAAGAGGCGAAGAGAGGACAUGAUGGAGGAGAUGGAGGUGGGAUCAACUUUAGAGAAGAUCAUAAGAUCAUCUGCGAACGCAAGAUGGGUAAGGGAAAGGGAUUUGCAUUUGGGGAUGGGGGAGAUGAUGUGAAUAUCAGUGGAAGAUUGGAUGGAUCUAGAAAGAACUUCAAGGCAAAGGGAGAAGAGGAAGGGGGAUAGGGGGCAGCCCUACCGGAUUCCCACAGAGGAGGGAAAGAAGGCUAUAGGGCUACCAUUGACUAGAAGAGAGAACCGAGGGGUGGAAAUGCAUGCAUAGAUCCAUCGGACAAAAUUUGGCAGAUUGGACAUUUGGAGGGUGUCACAGAGGAAAUCCUAACGGAUGGAAUCAAAAGCUUUGUGGAUAUCAAUUUUGAGGAGAGCAGCUGAGCCAUGGGAUUUACGCUCGAAGACACGAACAAUUUCAUGACAAAAUAAUAUUGUCAGCAAUGCUCCUCCCAGAGAUGAAGGCAGACUGGUUUUGACUGACAAGGGAGUCAAUGACCUUCUUAAUGCGGAGAGAAAGGAUUAUGGCAAUGAACUUGUAGAUCAAGUUACAGAGGGAAAUGGGUUUGAAGUCUUGCAUGGAGGAGGAACCCUCAGAGUUAGGAAUAAGGCAAAGGAAGGUGUGAUUUACACCACUUAUUUGGCUGGGGUCAAAGAAGAAGCUCCUGAUUGCUUGGAUGAGGUCCCAACAAGAGAUGAAGAAUCCCAUGCUAAACCCAUCAGGCAUAGGGGCUUUGCAGGCUUUGUGGGAUAGGACAACAGAGGUGAUUUCUUCAUCAGAGGGGAUGGAUUGGAGGGAUGGGAUGAGGUGCUCCGGGAUGAAUUUAUUGAUAAGAGAUUGAUGGGGAGGAGGGUGAAAGGGGGGAGGAGGAGUUAAAGAGCUUAGAGAAGUAGGAAGAGGCCUCAGAUUUGAUCUCCUCAGGAGAGCGAAGCACGAAUCCAUUCCUGGAAGAGAGGAAGGAGAUGGAGUUAACAUUGGUUCGAGCUUUGACAAAAUGGUGGAAGAAAGUACUGUUGGAGUCUCCAAGCUCCAGCCACUUAAUACGGGAUUUUUGCUUAAGAAAACUUUCUUUUUGGGAUAGGAGGGAAAGCUCCAAGCAGAGGGACAUCUCUUCGUCAGCGAGGGCAGAAUUAAGGGGAUCAAGCUGAAGUUUAGAUUGAAUGAUUUCCAAAUUAGAUUUGUGGGAGGCGGUCCUAUCAGAAAUGUUGUUGAUGCAUUGAGCUCCAGAGUUUAAGGGAUGCCUUGACAUUUCUAAGCUUUAUGGAAAAGGAGCUGAGCGGGGAGGAAAAGGCGUGCAAUGGGAUGCACCAAGCCUCAUGAACCAGGGAGAAUGAAGUCCUUGUGAAGGGACCAUAUGUCGAAGAAUUUGAAGGGCUUGGGGCCGAAAGAGGCGGAAGGGUGAACUAGGAGAGAGAUGGGACAAUGAUCGGAUAUGUUGGGCAAGUCGAAAGUGGCAUGGGAGGAGGGGAAGGAGUCAAGCCAAGCUCCAUUCACAAGCAUCUUGUCAACUUGCACGCCACACGGUCAGUGCCACUUCGACGAUUGUUCCAGGAGAACUUGGAACCAGACCAACAGAGGUCAUUCAUGACAAUGUCUUCGACACAUUCGUUGAAGGCAUCAGCGGAGGGGAGGUCAAUGUGAUCGCCACCAACUUUUUCAUGGCCAAAUCUGAUGACAUCAAAGCCACCGGCAAGACCCCAGAGGGAGGAGUCAACAAAUGGGGAUAGGGAUCGAAGAUCAUUCCAGAGGGGAAGCCUCGCUGAUGCACGGUUAAGGGCAUACACGAUAGUGAGGAAGCAUCUAUUGGCCCUUGAGGAAUCAGAGAUGGAGAGCUGGAUAUGCUGGGAUGAGGCACCAAGGGAAGAGAUAUUAAGGAUAAGAGGGUCCCAAAGAAUCCAAAUUCGACCAUUGGGGCAGUUUGCAUAGUUGGCAAGGAAAGACCAAGAAGGAGCAAUGGAGGAGGCAAUGCGAGAAGCAUUUGGCUCAAGGACUCUAGUUUCCAGAAGACAGCAGAGGGGGGCAUGAGAGGAUUUAAUGAGGGAUCGGAUGGAUGCAUGCUUCGCCGAGGAGUUAAGCCCUCGGACAUUCCAAAUGGACCAGGGGUGCAUUUGGGGGGAGGUGAUGGUGGGAUCAGUUGCUUUGAGGAGCAGGAGGAACGCCGUUGGCCAGCAGUAGAAGACCUUUUGUGACGAUGGUAUUCACGGAUGGGAGAUGGAUGAGAAGGGCAUGUCUUCUAGUUUGAGGCCUGGGUAGAGGUGUUCAGGGGUCUCGGGCUAGUCUUUGAGGAAUUAGAAGUUUUCUGGUUUAAGGGGGGGCGCUUGGAUUUGGAGGGGUUCAAAGGGGCUUUUAGGUGCUGGGUGGUUGACACACAGGGAGCAGGCACUGAAUCAAGGCUAUUAGUGACAGUGGUUAGCCCAAGGAGGACUGCAGGUGGGGCGAGGGAAGCUCGCAAGCCAUCAAAUUGGGCAGAGAGGCAGCACACCGAAUUUGUUCAACGGGGGCCAAGUGAUCUCGAUUGUGGUUCAGUGAAGUGGCAACAGCAGUGAAGCAUUAAGACACGUUAAAUCCUUAGAUUAAACCUAAAUGACCUUAUACUAGUACUACUGAUUGGAGAAAAUAGUUUAGCACUCCCCUUCAAGCUGGAGCAUAAAUGUAAUUGAUGUAGAGCUCAAAUAGAAGAUCUGAUGGCACUCCCAGCAUAGGAAGAAGAAAAACCAGGUCCAUUAGAACCUUUCUUUGGUACCUUAAAGAGUAGAGAGUUCCAAUAGAAGCUUUAGCAUGUAAAAAACACACUUAGAAGAUCUGAUGGAGUUCCCUCAUCAAUUGGAAGACCUAAUGGUGGAAGAUUGGAGGUUGUGAAGGCCAUAUGAAGAGCAAGGGAACCUGUACACUGUUACCUCCGGCUUCCCCUUCAAGUUCUUGAUUCUCUGUCAUCCAGCAACAUUUGGGAGUGGGACUUGGCUUGCCAGAAUCGUCCAGGGGGUAGCUUUCAACUCCUCAUGGUCUUGGUUGCUGAAGUUAUGUGAUGUUGGAGCACAACUCAUUCUUCAAAAUGACAGGGUAAGAAUGUGAUUCAGAGUGAUGGAGGCCGCAUGAAGGCUUUGCUGAUGUCCAUCUCCCUUGUGUGGCAAAGGGCCAUGAGCAUGUUGUGACAUGUUAUGCUUAUGGACACUGGUGAAUAACAUCUGUGCUCAACUUAAAACAACUGUAACGUAUCGACUAUAGUGGGCGUUCAUAAUAUGGGUACAAAGAGAUUGAUGUUCUUGAAGUGAAACUUGCGUGGUUUCAGCUGUUAGGUGAAUGUGACAGGUUGGAUUUUGAACAUAGCUGCUGCAAAUGAGGCCAUGGAAAUCCCAAUUGUGACACGAGGCAUAUGUGGCAACUGAAAAAUUAAGAUGCCCUACAUGCAUAUGGAGCUUGGUUCAAAAGGCAUUUGAAUUGGCUGGCAGAUCGGAUGAUCUAGGAAAUCCCAAUUGUGACACGAGGCAUAUGCGGCAACUGAAAAACUAAGAUGCCCUACAUGCAUAUGGAGCUUGGUUCAAUAGGCGUUUGAGGUGCUGUGCUAGCUCUUCUGCUUGACAGACUUGUGUUGAUUUAUGUCCGAUCAAGAUUUGUCUUCCAUAUGUAGGGUGGCAGAUCGGAUGAUCUAGGAAUGGAUAUGAACAACAGGGUUUUUUUACAUAUUGGAACUAAAAAAAACUGCUCCGAAGAUCGGCCUCUUAUCACUUUUAUCCAAAUUUUGGAGUGCCAGUGGUUUACAUGCAAUUUCAGCCAUUAAAUUUUAAAUCUCUACUUCGCAAAUGGCCAAAGAUGGCUUUCUUUCUCAUGUCCUGCUGUACUUCAUGCGUUGAAGUUGAACUCCAUCACAAGUAGAGGGUGGCAUGGCGAAGAGGUAGAAGAAUUCUCUCAGCAUUGUCAUUUGUUUGUAAGCCUCACUUGAGAGCCCUCCUGUGCAUCUCCACUGUUAAGAAUCUCACAGCAUUGUCAUUUGUUUCUUUUCCAUAACAGCGACUGACGGUAGGGGGUCUGAAUAUAAUUUUAUAUUAUACAGAGGGUGUUUCUCUAAUAGUGGCAUUCUCUCGGUGGUGUUGCUAAAAAUUACCUUAAUUUUUUUCUCAUCCUUUCUAUGUACCCAUACAGAGCUGAGACCUCUCUAGUUAGUUUCUUCCCCCUCACUCCUCUUUUUUGGAGGUUGGGUCUUUCAAACA
Molecule: long non-coding RNA, 8062 nt
Organism: Macadamia integrifolia
Lineage: Eukaryota; Viridiplantae; Streptophyta; Magnoliopsida; Proteales; Proteaceae
Exons: 3
Source: RefSeq, a predicted model, not a curated record